AUGGGGGGCUGCAAGGGGAAGCAUAAGGAGCUGAAGAGGAGCCAGUGUGGGAAUGGCAGCUGCUGCUGGCUGGGCUACAAGUCCUUCUGCCGAGUGAACUGCGGGAGGCCCGAGGCAGACUUCAACUCAGUGGUGCAUGGCAAUGACUGGUGGGUGGGCUCCGUGGUGCGCUACAGCUGCCGGCCCGGCUUCAUGCUGCUGGGGGACCCGGCCAGCGCCUGCCAGUCUGACGGCCGCUGGACGCCCAAGCCCACCUGUCUCCGUGAGUACCAUGGGGUGGGAUGGGUAUUGCUAUUCCAGCAGCCCACCGUGGGGAAAAAAGGCUGGUGGAUACAUCGGGGGUUGUGCUCCAGUCCUGCUCUUGCAGGGAUCUGCCUGCGAGGCCGGAUCGAGAUCAGCGAGCGGGACAUCAGCGGGAGCUGCUCGUCGUCCUGCAGCACCCAGAGCCACCUGGGAGCCUCCCUGCACCAAGGCUGCAUCAAGAUCUCCUCCUGCAGCACCAAACGCUCGGGCUGGGCGCGCUGGUUCCUGCGCUGCGACGUCUGCGAGUGCGACUGCCACGUGCCCUGCGGGGAGACCCGGUAGUGGCACCCACCUCUGAUUCUCCCGGUAGAGCUGAGCCUUCUGCACUGAGGUCUGCUGGCCACGCAUCUCCGGUGCUGGGCUCUUCCUUUCCAUAAUUUCCAUCCAUCCUGAAGCUGUCAUCUGGGAGAAGAGGUUUGGGAUUUGCUGCCUUCCUGCCUGGCCCCAUCACAUGGCAUGCAGGGAAUGCUGUGGGCAGCAGGAGCAGGGCAGCUGUAUUGAGGUCUUGGAGACCUCGGUGUCUCUUCCUGGCUGCUCCCUGGAGAAGGCUCACAUCCUCUUCUAGCAAGGAGGCAGCACUUUGCCAGUCCUGCAGGCUGCCAUUUCUCUCUGCCAGUUAUUUCCUGCCCCUGUGUGCACUCAGCAGGGCUGUCCUGCUGCUCCAUCUGUGCAGGCAGGGGGUGGGGGCUGCUGUGCAUGGUGCUUGCAGGCUGGGGCUGCUCCUUCCUGCAGUGUGUAAUUUGCUCUGACCCUCCCCCUCCCCUCCAUCCUCCCCAGGGACAUCUCUGGCUAGCUGAUGCCUUGUAGCCAGAACAGGUAAGGAGAUGCAAGGGGCUGUCCUAAGCACACAAGACCGCUCCUUGGACCUGGGUUCCUUGUGAUCCCAGCCCUGAGCCCUUCAUUCUGUCCCAUGUCCCCUCGUGUCCCACUGUCGUGAUGGUCUCUGGGUGCCACGUGCUCCCCGGGGACACCCUGGAUCCCUCUGAAGCAGCAAUGGAAGAACCAAAAUUGUGAUUCCCUGGGGAGGAAGAGGGGCAGGAGCAUGUGUAAUGGGAUCACCAGGGGAAACGGGCCCAACAGCAGCACCACCACCACUGUGGGUAAUUUACAGGAAAUGACACAAAUUUGCAGUUAUGCACGGAGGUUCUGCUGCCUGCUCCAUCCCCACAGCCCCACACAGAGGGCAGGGCCAGGACCGGCUCUCCCAGCUCCGGAUGUGAGUGUCCUGGGUCAGGAGGCAGGGUGCUGAAAUGGCCUUGGGAUGAGCCCAGCACCUCUUCUGCUCCACGAGGAACUGAUUGCAGGCCCUGGUGUGGGGCUGACUCUGAUAUUGCACUCUCCAGCACCUUCUGCCUGAAUGCCAUGCCUAAAGAGCUGGAUCUCUGCCCCCAGCUCUGUCCCAGCCCCGGUCCGGCUGUGGGAGGGGAAGGAUUUCCUUAGCUCACCAGAUGGGUAUUUUAAUUAAUACUGUUGUUAGUGCUGCUCAUUUCCAUAUGUCUUUCAUGUUUAAGUGCUGUGGUGGGUGAGAGGUGUGAGCGACUGCAAGGAGGGAGCCAGGUGGAGCACAGAGACACCAUGCAGGGGAGUGUGUGCUGGGGGCAAGCUGGCACCCUCCCACCAGGACCCGUGGGGGGGGAGGGGGCAGCUGUGCCCCCUGGCCUUUGAUGCUUGCUGUGAGCUUUCUGAGCAGUGCUCUGCCAUCCUUGCACCCUGUUUGUGCCCUGUGGUGGAGGCUGUUGGGUGCAAUGCAAUGCAAUGCAAUGCAAUGCAAAGGCAGCUCAGUGCGUGGCUAGGUGAGCCCUGGGAGUGGGCUAUGGGGUGAGGGGCAGUGGGCGUGGGCUGUCUGCUGUGUCAGAGGUGCAGCGGUGGGGACGGAAGAACGGGGGCUGCCAAAUCCCAAGCUUUGCAGCCGGGAGAUGCUCGGGGCCUUCUGCCUGACACGCAGAGCAGAGUGGGGAAAGGAAUAAAGCCGGUUCCUUUAAGAGGGUUUUUCGCCGCCUGGCAGCGCCGCCCGGGCAGCCAAUUCUCACCGUCCCGACACACGGCGGCAGCCGAGACAGCGCCGGCGGUGGGGGGCACCGACGGGUCCGGGGCACCAAUACGGGAGCGGAUAACGGCACGGAACCGGUCCUCCCACCUCGCCGCCCGCCCCGGCCCCAGCCCAGCCCAGCCCAGCCCUACAGAGGGAUGGGGAGCGCA
RNAcentral lists this long non-coding RNA (2502 nucleotides) under Meleagris gallopavo (turkey). Its description in RNAcentral is "lncRNA (ENSMGAG00000021246.1)". The record is from RNAcentral. Lineage: Eukaryota; Metazoa; Chordata; Aves; Galliformes; Phasianidae.